CAAACAGACCCUUGAAAUGUCAGAAGCCUUGUUAAAACAAAUUGGGGUUCCUUCAAUCACCUCUUCCCCACACGAAUCUCUGCAAAAGGGUAACUGGGUAAAGCUCAUAUGUGGUGCUAGCUUUGAGGAUGUUAUUGAUAUAAGGAAUCUCUCUUUGGUUUACACUCUAGCUGGAGUCAACUGUAUCGACUGUGCUGCAGAUGCGUCCAUAGUAAAUGCAGUGAAUGA
This is a non-coding RNA of Carica papaya (papaya), 228 nucleotides long. The record is from RefSeq and is a predicted model, not a curated record. NCBI's taxonomy places the organism in Eukaryota, Viridiplantae, Streptophyta, Magnoliopsida, Brassicales, Caricaceae.